GAUGAACGCUAGCUAUAGGCUUAACACAUGCAAGUCGAGGGGAAACGGCAGAGAGUGCUUGCACACUUUGGACGUCGACCGGCGCACGGGUGAGUAACGCGUAUCCAACCUGCCCUUUACUUGGGGAUAACCCGUUGAAAGACGGACUAAUACCCAAUGAUAUUCAUUGAUGACAUCUGAUUUGAAUUAAAGAUUUAUCGGUAUAGGAUGGGGAUGCGUCUGAUUAGCUUGUUGGUGAGGUAACGGCUCACCAAGGCCACGAUCAGUAGGGGUUCUGAGAGGAAGGUCCCCCACAUUGGAACUGAGACACGGUCCAAACUCCUACGGGAGGCAGCAGUGAGGAAUAUUGGUCAAUGGACGAGAGUCUGAACCAGCCAAGUAGCGUGCAGGAUGACGGCCCUAUGGGUUGUAAACUGCUUUUGUUUGGGAAUAAUCGACAUUACGUGUAAUGUUUUGCAUGUACCAUCCGAAUAAGGACCGGCUAAUUCCGUGCCAGCAGCCGCGGUAAUACGGAAGGUCCAGGCGUUAUCCGGAUUUAUUGGGUUUAAAGGGAGUGUAGGCGGUUGGUUAAGCGUGUUGUGAAAUGUAGAUGCUCGACAUCUGACUUGCAGCGCGAACUGGCUGACUUGAGUACACACAACGUAGGCGGAAUUCAUGGUGUAGCGGUGAAAUGCUUAGAUAUCAUGAAGAACUCCGAUUGCGAAGGCAGCUUACGGGAGUGUUACUGACGCUUAAGCUCGAAGGUGCGGGUAUCGAACAGG
Molecule: ribosomal RNA, 761 nt
Filed under: uncultured Prevotella sp.
Lineage: Bacteria; Pseudomonadati; Bacteroidota; Bacteroidia; Bacteroidales; Prevotellaceae
Description: bacterial SSU rRNA
Rfam family: Bacterial small subunit ribosomal RNA
Source: RNAcentral